RNAcentral lists this long non-coding RNA (2164 nucleotides) under Sus scrofa (pig). RNAcentral describes it as "lncRNA (ENSSSCG00065061243.1)". The record is from RNAcentral. Lineage: Eukaryota; Metazoa; Chordata; Mammalia; Artiodactyla; Suidae.
GGGGCCUGCCCUGCCGUAAGGCAGUCUUCAGGGUAAGAAACGGCUCAGGACUGUACUAUCCGCCCUUUCCAUCUCUUCCACCAAAAAUACUUGCGUUGGCGCCCAGCUUCACUCUGUGUCUCCCUGGUUGCACAUAGCCACCUGACCAAGGCAGGAACUGCAACCACAACUCAGCAAAGAACUUUCUUGACAUUACCGUUACUAUCGCAUAGAAUGAGAAUGCUUUUGCCUCAAUUCUCCACUUUCGUUGCCUAGAUUUUGACAGCUGUGACCAGAAAGCCAACAUUAUACAGCUAACGUGAUCGUGUUAAGAAAAGUGAAGGCCAGCCCAGCAAAUCAACUUCUUGGAAGGCUAGUGUGGUGAAGUUUAUCAGUAUGAUGUCUGCGCACCUUGACAAGGAGAUGGGAAAAGUCUGGAGUCUUUCCCAAGAGGAAAGACUUAAGGAGACUGACAUCAGGGACUCCCAUACUCAACAGCUCAGGAGGCUCACCUUACAGUAGGGCUCACAUUUCCUGCCCACACACUUCAAGCAUUUUAUCUCCUACUUGGAAUUCUUGGCAGCAAUCAAAUAUCACCUGACAUCUGAGGAAAACUUCUAAGAGAAAAGACGGACCCAAACAAACAGAAGAAAACACGGAAGAAACUGGGAUGAUACAGGAAGAAGAAAACUUGGAUAGAAGACUAAAAAAGAUGGAACGUUCUGAGUUCAGAGUAAUAUUUUUUUCCCUUAAAUUUACUAUGCUAACAGGGAUGGCGAAAGUUGAGGAAAACUAUUCAGAAAAUAGCAAGCCCCCCCCCCCCAAAAAGAUAAAAUUUAAAAGGAGGUCUAGGAGUUCUCUUGUGACACAGUGGGUUAAGGAUCUGGUGUUGUCAUUGCAACAGCUUGAGUCACUGCUAUGGUGCAGGUUUGAUCUCUGGCUUGGGAAUUACAACAUGCCAUUGGGCACUGUCAAAAAAUAAAUAAGUAAAUAAAUAAAAGGAGGUCUACUAUCUGAUUACUAGCAGUUGUAAAAAGAAAGGGACAAACAAAAAAGGAAAUACUUUCAAUAAAACAAUUUAAGGGAGUUCCCAUGAUGGCUCAGUGGUAACAAACCCAACUUGUAUCCAGGAAGAUGCAGGUUUGAUCCCUGGCCUCCCUCAUUGGGUUAAGGAUCCGGCGUUGCCAUGAGCUGUGGUGUAGGUUGCAGUCGUGGCUUGGAUCCCAGGUUGCUGUGGCUGUGGUGUAGGCCAGCGGCUAUAGCUCCAAUUCAGCCCCUUGUCUAGGAACCUCCAUAUGCCACUGGUGCGGCCCUAAAAAGAAAAAGAAAACAACAACAACAACAACAACAACAACAAAAAACCAAGCAAUUCAAGAACCUUUUUCACAAGUGAAGGUCAUGAUUUUCUGAGUUUAAAGAGCCUAUCAAUUGCCCAACGCACUGGAUGAACGUCUCCAAAAAUAUCAUCAUGUUACUUCAGAACACAGGUACAACUUCUAGAAUAGACAGGUCUUAUGUAAAGGACCAGGUAUGAGAAUGCUUGGGAAUUCUCAACAGCAACAUUGGAAGCUAAAAAGAAUAACACUGGAAACUAGGAUUUCAAAAUUCUGAGGGAAAAAAAUGCUUUCUAACCCAUUAUUUUAUAUGGAGACUUUAUAUGUUGAAGGGUGAUGACAGAUGAAGAACAUUUUUUGGAUAGGCAAGUUCUCAAUGAACUACCUUCUGGUCCUUGCACCCUUUCUCAGGAAACUACUGAUGGGGUAAGAUCCCAGGAUGACAACCCAUUUCAAGAUGAGUAUGGCUGGUUCAGACUAAAGUACACAGGGCCUGAGAGCAGCUUCUAAGGUAAGAUAUAACCAAGGACCACCCGAGGUGUCUCGAGUAUCACUGGGGAUUGAAUUAAUGAUUAAGAAAAAAACAAGAUGGAAUUCCCGUCGUGGCUCAGUGGUUAACGAAUCCAGCUAGGAACCAUGAGGUUGCGGGUUCGGUCCCUGCCCUUGCUCAGUGGGUUAAUGAGCUGUGGUGUAGGUUGCAGAUGUGGCUCGGAUCCCUCGUUGCUGUGGCUCUGGCGUAGGCCGGUGGCUACAGCUCCGAUUCGACCCCUAGCCUGGGAACCUCCAUAUGCCUCGGGAGCAGCCCAAGAAAUAGAAAAAAGAAAAAAAACAAAACAAAACAAAAAAAAAAA